This 253-nucleotide ribosomal RNA is filed under the name uncultured bacterium. Its description in RNAcentral is "partial 16S ribosomal RNA". It matches the Rfam family "Bacterial small subunit ribosomal RNA", at positions 1248 to 1500 of the family's 1533-position model. The record is from RNAcentral.
AGCGAGGCUGUGAAGCGGAGCAAAUCUCAAAAACCGGUCCCAGUUCGGAUUGUGGGCUGCAACUCGCCUACAUGAAGUCGGAGUUGCUAGUAAUCGCGGAUCAGAAUGCCGCGGUGAAUGCGUUCCCGGGCCUUGUACACACCGCCCGUCACACCAUGAGAGUCGAUAACACCCGAAGCCUGUGAGCUAACCUUUUAGGAGGCAGCAGUCGAAGGUGGGGUUGAUGAUUGGGGUGAAGUCGUAACAAGGUAGC